This 30-nucleotide non-coding RNA is filed under the name Rattus norvegicus (Norway rat). Lineage: Eukaryota; Metazoa; Chordata; Mammalia; Rodentia; Muridae. The record is from RNAcentral.
UGAAAAUGUGCUUGGUGAGAAUAAAACCUU